GUAGCUCGGGGCAGGGUGGGCGCGAGAGAGCCUAGAAGCCCAUGUAGCCGCGAAUCCCGCAGCCCCAGUACACCUCCCUCCGUGCCUCCCCGCCUUUUCUGCAGAGCUCCGCCCUGGAGUGAAGGAGGAGCCGUCACCUGGAGCUCCGAAAAAAGCAGAAGAAGGCGCUUUUUAUUUAGCCAGUGUGACCCCGCCAGGGCCUUCUCGGUUGGGUGAGCACUCUCUCUGACCAGGCCAUGAAAAGAAAAAUCUGUGCGAUGCCUCCCCACAUGUCACGGGACUCUGACUUGCCUUUGUCGUCAGAGUUUGCAGAACUUUGGGGGACCUGAGAGGGGAGUGCCCCCUGGACGGGCCACGGCUGUCUGUGGCUUAAGGGCUUUUGGAAGGGCGGAGAGAGGGAAACGGCGUCCUAGUGGCCUGCUUCAGGGCCACCCACGGGCCCUCCCCCAACCUCUCUCUGAUCCAACUUGUUUUUCCAGCCUAGUUGGAAACUUGUGGAUGCUGUGACCUCAAGAAGACUUGGCAUUUUAUUUGGAAGAUAGACAUCUAUUUGCAACUGUCCUGAGCCCCUAUUUUCCUCCCACCUUUCUUGGGGAAACUUGUUUUUAAGGGAUGCCACUGUUUUUGUAACAUGUUGCUCCUAGCUCUUAGCAUUCAUGGUACUGUUGUAACCGUCCAGUGGGUUCACUUUGUCUGCUAGAUAGAGCCGAUUUAUCAAGACGGGGAUUACAAUGGAGAAAGAGUAAUUCACGCAGAGCCGGCUUUGCAGGUGAUGGGAGUUUUAUUAUUACUCAAAUCGGUCUUCUUAAAUUUGUGUCCCGGAGCAGUACGUUCUAACAUUUUUUAGAUGUUACAAAUGUAACUUUUGGCUAAGUUACAUUCCUACUAAGUUAUAUUCUUACUAACUAAGCCAAAUGUUAUAUUCUAAAGAAUGUUUACAGAACCGAAACUAAAUAUUUGUUACCUGGUACAGUUGUGAAACUUGUUUUUUAAAAUGCAUCCUGUGAUUUAAGUUUUUCAGAUCCUGAAACUGAGUUAAAAUUUGAUCAGUAAUAAUGCUUUAUUUCUCUGUUCUUCUGAGAGAUAAUUCCUAAUGUUGUUUUUCCAACUAGAAGUCUGAAGAGUUAUUGUGUUCAGUGUGUACCUUAAGAGUGGUAUGAAUUUGCGGGAGUCAGGACACACUGUAAGAAAGGUAGAAGAGAAAUAAGUGAGCAAGAGAGAAGUGGAACAAGAUGCAUGUGGGAAUAUUGCUGCAGGACUUUUCCUUAUUUCAGCUAAAAAUGGGAUUCUUUGUCCCACGGCCACGGAAAUUCAGGCUCGCAGAUGGUUUAAAGGGUGUGUGAAGCAGAGUUUUAUUGGGUGAAAAAGGGAAAAAAAGGGGGAAACAGGUACUCUUGCAGGGCCAGAGUCCUUCCGCCGGAGCGCUUCCCACCUGACAGUUUGAAUCCCAGGUUCUACAAAUGAAAAACUGGGGCCAGGCUCAGGCUUCUCUCUGCUGCAAACCUUGUGAACUUCCCAAGGCUCCACCUCAGUGGGCAGGCUAAUUGGAGUUUCUCCAGGGACCCCUUCCCACCUGGCUGUCUCAGUAUUAGUAGGAGGGGCUAGAGAUGUAAAAAA
Molecule: long non-coding RNA, 1617 nt
Organism: Homo sapiens (human)
Lineage: Eukaryota; Metazoa; Chordata; Mammalia; Primates; Hominidae
Source: Ensembl